RNAcentral lists this ribosomal RNA (497 nucleotides) under uncultured bacterium. RNAcentral's name for it is "partial 16S ribosomal RNA". It matches the Rfam family "Bacterial small subunit ribosomal RNA", at positions 28 to 507 of the family's 1533-position model. The record is from RNAcentral.
GAUGAACGCUGGCGGCGUGCCUAAUACAUGCAAGUCGAGCGAACAGACGAGGAGCUUGCUCCUCUGACGUUAGCGGCGGACGGGUGAGUAACACGUGGAUAACCUACCUAUAAGACUGGGAUAACUUCGGGAAACCGGCGCUAAUACCGGAUAAUAUAUUGAACCGCAUGGUUCAAUAGUGAAAGACGGUUUUGCUGUCACUUAUAGAUGGAUCCGCGCCGCAUUAGCUAGUUGGUAAGGUAACGGCUUACCAAGGCAACGAUGCGUAGCCGCCCGAAGAGGGUGAUAGGGCACACGGGAACUGAGACGCGGUCCGGACUCCUGCGGGAGGGAGCAGUAGGGAAUCGUCCGCAAUGGGCGAAAGUCUGACGGAGCAACGCCGCGUGAGUGAUGAAGGUCUUCGGAUCGUAAAACUCUGUUAUUAGGGAAGAACAAAUGUGUAAGUGACUAUGCACGUCUUGACGGUACCUAGUCAGAAAGCCACGGCUAACUACGUG